AUGGGGUUCCGUGAGUUCCGCUUGUUCAACCAAGCAUUGCUGGCACGCCAAGCUUGGCGAAUCCUCUCUAACCCGGACAGUCUGUGCGCACAAGUGACGAAAGCUAAAUAUUUUCCAUCUUGUCUCCUUGUGGACACUGUUUUCCCGUCCAACUCUUCACCAACUUGGCAAGCGGUGGCGCAUGGGCCGGAGCUUCUGAAGCAUGGUAUUUUAUGGCGAGUAGGCAAUUGGCAAUCCAUUCGUAUAUGGAGAGAUCGUUGGGUCCCGAACGGUGGCUCUGGCAAGCCUAUCACCGUGCAGGGGCGAUGCCGUCUGAGAAGAGUUUCCGAGCUGCUGGAUGAACGUGGUGCAUGGCAUAUGGACCUUUUACAACAAUAUUUCAAUCCGGUAGAUGUCGAGCAGAUUGUUAAAAUUCGGACUUGUCCACGGCUCGAAGAGGAUGUCCUUGCUUGGGAACCGAAGCGUAAUGGUAUCUUCACGGUUCGGAGUGCGUACCGGCUUGCACUUGAUGAAUGUCUUCAUCCAUCUUCAGUCACGGCGAGCAGGGCACCGGACGGGCGACGAGCCGUUUGGGGUGUUUUAUGGAGGUGCCCUGCUCCUCCUAAGGUGUGUGUGUUUGCUUGGCGGGUGGUGACGAACUGUCUGGCCACAUGGACUAAUAAACAUGCUCGUAGCCUUGAAGUAUCUAACUUGUGUCCUCAUGAGAAGCCAUCAGCACUUGGAUGGGAGGCACCGCCGGCCGGCUGGGCUGCGCUCAACAUCGACGGGUCCUUUUCUGCCAAAGACGGAACUGCAGGAGCUGGCAUGGUCCUCAGGGAUGAACAUGGAGAUAUUAUUUUUUCGUCUUGCCGUGAGUUAAGGCAGUGUGCAUCAUCACUAGAAUCUGAACUUGCUGCAUGUUCAGAAGGCAUCUCCCUGGCUACCCAGUGGUCUGAGCUGCCUUUUGUGAUUCAAACGGACUGCGCAGAAGUGGUAAAGCUAAUUGAAGGAGGUACUGGCGACCGAUCGGAGCAUAUGAUGUUGAUUCGCGAGAUUACUUUGCGUCUUCGGGAACAUGGUGAAUUCUUAGUUAAGCUUGUGAGGCGUGAACAAAACGUUGUUAGUCAUUUUUUAGCGAACUUUGGUCGAAUAAAGAAGCACACUGCGGUGUGGCUUCAUCCUGGGCCGGCCGAGGUUUCGGACCUAUGUAAUGCAGACAUGGCUGCCACUUAA
RNAcentral lists this ribosomal RNA (1212 nucleotides) under Triticum aestivum (bread wheat). Its description in RNAcentral is "partial small subunit ribosomal RNA". The record is from RNAcentral. Lineage: Eukaryota; Viridiplantae; Streptophyta; Magnoliopsida; Poales; Poaceae.